UGUCCCAUGCUGGGCCUCUCUUUCCCUAGAGCAGAGCCCAGGCUUGUGCUAGUCUCUGGAGCAGAAAGGGAAAGUGUGAGCGGGCCUGCCCUCCAGGGACUUCCAGGCUAUUACUUGUCGUGGGUACAGAGAGCAUUGCGGCAAUGGGGGAGGGGCGGGAAGGCUUGAGGGCGGCACCUGAAGGCAGAAGUGAGCUCAGCAGGUGUGCCAGGCCCAUGUGCCAGGCCAGGAGGUAGAAUGCCAAGUAAAAGGAAGAGCGAGGAGGCCUCCCUGGUCAGGACAUGGGAGCGCUUAACAGGCACGCACGUGUAAUCAGCCUAGAAAGGCAGGCUGUGAGGAGCUUGAAAUGCCAGAUAGCGGCACAGUUUGUGUCUGAGCAGAGGCAAGAGGGAGCCACUGAUGCAGGCUUACACUGCCAGAUAACCACAGGAUUUCAACCUCAAUGUCUACCAGAUGAGGACGCUAGACCCAGAGGAAUCUUGGAGACCCCUCAUGUUAUAGUUGAGGAAACUGAGGUCCAGGAAGGUGUGACCUGCCCAAGGCCUAAGCAGGAUUUGAACCCAGGUCCUGUGCUUUAGAAACUCACUGGAGGAAUGGCCCUGGGCAAGUCAUUUCCCCUGGAGCCCGAGUUCCCCACCAGGUAUACGCCCCGCCCAGGGUGAUUUGCUAGCGUCGGCUGUAUUAUGCAGCUUCUCCCUUCCGCUUCCUG
Molecule: non-coding RNA, 709 nt
Organism: Phascolarctos cinereus (koala)
Lineage: Eukaryota; Metazoa; Chordata; Mammalia; Diprotodontia; Phascolarctidae
Source: RefSeq, a predicted model, not a curated record